RNAcentral lists this long non-coding RNA (2895 nucleotides) under Gossypium barbadense (sea-island cotton). RNAcentral describes it as "long non-coding RNA (GBAR_LNC001926)". Lineage: Eukaryota; Viridiplantae; Streptophyta; Magnoliopsida; Malvales; Malvaceae. The record is from RNAcentral.
UUUCUCCUUAGUUUCAAAGGAUACAGUUUUCGCCACUUCACAACAUCAACAAGAACAAGAUGAUCAGAAAAAAGGCACUUUUUUUUCUGUUGUUGUCAGGUGAGUAUAUACAUAUACAUAUAUAUGAUACAUGUAGACAAUUGGACAUACUUCAAUGUUAGUUUAUGGGGUAUUAAUCUUUUAAUAAAUAAAGGGUAUCUAGUUAGCUGUUUUUAAAGGACUAGUUGCAGAUCCAGAUCUGUAAUUAUUCUUCAGAGCCAAAUAUAUUGCUGUAGUGGAAAUAUUGGGUACUUUAACAUAUGAAGCUAUAUUGAGAGACUUUGUUGUGUUUAUGUAUGUUGAUGCUAUAUUGAAGGAAAUUAGAUCCAUUUGUUGGUAUUUUGUAGAUCUUUGAUUAUUUUAUUCCUAUUAUUUCAUUAAUGGUUUUUGCAUUGCAGAUAGGCAAAGAAGCACUCUUACAGAGAAAUGAGUAGUUUUAGGUUUUGUUUCUUUAUGGAAUUUGAUGAUAUCAAAUAACUAGGUUGCUGCAAAUUGGUUCUUUCCUCCAUAUCUUUGUCUUCAAAUAGAAAUUUUAAGGGGAUUCUUCCAAGUGGAUUUUUGUCUUAAAGAAUUAGUAGAUAUUGUUGAAUAUUGGAAGCUUUCAAGAUCAUAAAUGGUGUAGUAACUAGUAAUUAUGGGACACUGCCAUUGGUCUUUUUUUUUUUUUGUUUAUUUAAUAUUGUUAGUGGAUCCUUAAAACAUUUUAUCUAUCUCUAUUCAGUUCAUAGUUUCUAAAAUUUGCUUCCUUCAGUCAUGAAAAUGAUAAUCCACUCUAGAAAUUUAUGGAUAUAUAUAUGAGCCCUCAAUCGCUUUCUAAGCUUUUAUACUUAUAUUCUCUGCUACAUGCAUUAAGGGUUUUUCUCUUAGUUCAUAAAAGGAAAAGAAAAUAAUAGGUACUUUUUUCCGAGUGUAGCAUCAUCAAGCUUAACAUGCAAAUGCAUGGAGGUGAUGAAAAAUUAUCUUGCUCGGCCUCUUUGUUUUUUCGUGUUUGAUGCUGGUGUACGAUACACCAAUAUGAGAAUAUGACCUCGAAAAGUCCUUCAAAUGUAUAGAAAAAUAUAGAAAAACUAAUUAUAUCUAUAUUAAACACAUGUACAUAUUCAAUAGUCACACUGAAAUUCAAUAUACAUAUUGAAUACUCUCACCCGAACUCAAAUAACUUAGGUAAAAAAUUUGAAAUUUGAUAACUUUUGUUGCAAAAGUACUUUGAAAUUGAGAAUCUUGAUGAUGCUCCACCGGCAAUAAACGACUACAGAAAAGAGAGGGAAAAAAAGACCCUUUAAUCUUUUCCCCUUUUUUUCUCAGUUUAAAGUUACCCACUUUGCACUUCACAGCAUCAGCAAGGACAAGAUGAGAGAAGACUCUCUGUUGUUGUCAGGUGGUAUGUGUAUAUAUAUAAAUAAAUUUGAUGCAUAUAUUCAUACUUCAAUGUUAAUGUUUGGGGGUAUUUUUCUUUAAUAAUAAUAAAGGGUAUCUGAAUAUCUCCAUAAGUAAUGUUUUAUUUGUUUUUUUUUUACAUUGCAGGGUAAGGUAAUAGUGUCUUAAAAAAAGUGCUUUGUUGUGUUAUAUUUGUACAUUGCAGAUGUAAUGAGCUUUUACUAAAGCCAACAAGGUGGUUUGCUGAUGUUUCCAUCCCAUGAGAGUGCUUUGGAGUUGGAGGUGAGAGAAAUGGGGUUUUUUUAGAUUUGCUUAUGGGAUUUUGAUGAUAUUCAGAUGAAUAGGUUACUGCAAGUUCUUUGGUUCUGGAAAUUAGUAGAUAUUGUUGAAUAUUGGAAACUUCAAUGUGGAAGAGAAGAUAUAUAUAUGUAUGUAUGCGGUUCUUCGCUUCAGUUUGCUUAUAGGCCUUCUUACAUAUUGUUGAAUAUUUCAUGCACUAGCAGACUAGUUUACCAAAUAUCUGCAAAGGGGGUUGAUUGAUGUAUUUAGUAAUUGCUUGAUCCUUUAGUGUUAAAAAAGUGAAGUAUAAAUAGAUGAAUGGAUAUUAGAAAAUUGAAGUCUCUGCAUCAUUGAGAUUGACGGUCUCCAUUCAAGAUUUUCUCUCUUUGUUACUUCAAAAGAUAGAUAGCCAUGGAUGCAUGAAUAUGUACUGGUUCCAGCUAGUACACACUUGUGCAGUUGUACACGUAUCCACUUGUUUCUCCUAAACUUAUGCACCUAUACAUAUACACUGAUAUACACUGCUUUGAUCCUUGUCUUAAUAAUGAAUUGCUGGAGAUUACGUUUUUGCAGGUAGGUUUAAUUAAUCAAAUAUUGUUACUAUGAGUUUUAUUUUGUUUGGAGUCAACCGCGUUGACCGAUAGAGGUUCACCCAUCAUGAAGGAACCUCGCCAACUUACAUCAAAGAUUUACUUAGAAUACAGUCUAUGAAGACAAGACCUUCCAUAAACUCUAAGCAAACGUGCUGAAGAUCAGUCAUGACUUAGCAGCUUACUGCAAGAACCUUGACAUCUGGCUCCUCCACCACCACUUCAAACCUAUAACUUCCCCUUAGCUAAGAACCAUUGACAAGAGACUUCCGUUGUUGUUACUCUGCCGAAUUUCCCUCAGAUUUCACCUUUCUACAACUUCCAGCACAACUGUGUCAACCGUCUUCAACCACUCCCUGGUAUCAACACACACACAUAUAUAUAUUUUAUUUGUGUUCUGUACUACAUGAGUCAUGUUUGGGCUGUCAAAGACAAAAACCUAUAUAGUUAUCACAUGGUAAUGGAAUUUGAUUUGUUAACCACUCCUAACAUAUGCCUUAGUUCAGUUGGUAUGAUGUCAUUGUUACAUCGUUGAAACAUGCUUAAACAAGCUCACUUGCUUGAUCAAGCAAGCAACCAAUGGUCAUACACCGGACAACUCAAACAAUAG